GGUGCAUGACGACGCGGGCUGUGUACUUCCUGGUUUUCUUUGCUGCGUGGCUCUCGGCUGCUUAUUAAUAGGCAAAAUUUCAAAGCCUGGCGUGAUAGCACGCAUCAUUAAUCUCGGGAGGCAGAGGCUGGAGGAUCUCUUAAGAAGGUCGGAGGAGGAUCUGGAGUCAGACCACGUUUCAAACAAACACCUUUAAACAAACAACACACAAGGAAACCAGAGAGCAAUGCACCAAAGAACUUCUGGUGGUAUUCCAACUGCUUCUUCCUGCUUCUGAGGACUUGUACUCAUAGGUGGGGGCCUGAUGGUUUCUACUGGAUCUAGCCAUUCCUACUGAUUCGUGUUUGAUGUUUGGGUCCCUAUGUAUUCAAGGCUGUCUUGGAACUUGGAAGACCAGGCUGACCUCAAACUCACAGAGAUCCUCCUGCCUCUGCCUCUGGAAUGCUGGGAUUAAAGGCGAACACGAAGGGCUGAGCCACAUCCUAACUAGAAACGGGUUCAAAUAUCUUGUGACAAAGAUCCAAAGAUGAGUCUAACCGAAGCUCUCCCACAGCAAUCACGUGCUCUUGGUUUUACCAGGCAGCUGUAAUCUCGCACGAGGACACUUGAGUUUGUCAGACCAAGCGCUCUCUGGUUUGAAUUGUUCCUGCUUCCUACUUCACUAAUAGGCGUUCUUGCACAUCCGCUAUUGAAUGUGCUUGCUCUGUUUGCUUGUUCAUUGGUUGGAAACCUUAUUUGUGGCUUGAUCUCCGUUUGAGAAUAAACCUAGCUUUUCACUGUGACAAAUGACCUUCUCCAAAUACUAGGCAAUCACUAAAAACCGUCACCUGCCGCACGUCGCCCUGCAGAAUCAGAGGUGGAGAUGCAGAAAUGGAAGCACCUUUUACUUCAGUGUUCACAGACCUGCGGUUUCCUCUGGACCCUUUAAAUGGUUGUGAUAGAAAAGAGCAACCCUAAACGGUUCGCAUUACUGAUGCUCUAGAAGAUGUUUUGCUCAGGACGUCGUGGAGAGCAGAUGAAGUCCUCAGUGAAUGUGUGUGGUUGGUAUUAUCGACAUGAGUGAGCACGGCUGGGUCAGACUCCAAAGCUUCACACGCAGGGGACAGUGAAGCCUUUCUGUCCAAGUACUAAUGUGGCCAUUGUAUGCACCAAGGAAGACUGCCACUUCCUCUCCCCCAAAACUGCACCCAGCCUGAGAAGACUCCAAGGGAAAUUUGGAAGCUCCACAGAUAGACCUUCUACUGAGAUUAGACUCCACCCUCCCAACACACACACACACACACACACACACACACACACACACACACACAUACACACACACACAUACACACACACACAUACACACACACACACAUACACACACAUACACACACACACAUACACACACACAUACACACACACAUACACACACACAUACACACACACACACAUACACACACACACACACACACAGAGAGAGAGAGAGAGAGAGAGAGAGAGAGAGAGAGAGAGAGAGAGAGCCUCCUCCUGAGAUUGGACAGUCCCCCCCUCCAACCCCCACUGAGAUUUGCCAUUCUCCCAUAGAUACCUCCUACUGAUCUGAGCUAAUUGACAUCCAGGUUGGAGUUGCUUCUAGGAAAUUAUUGGUCCACUCCCCAAAGCACUUUGCAGCCAUCCAUCCGAUGCCAGCUUUCCAUACACAGGUCUUUCUUCCCUCAACACCCCAGCCUUGUAAAUUCCUAAGCCUUGCAGGUCGCAGCAUCAUGGAACUUCAAAAAAUGUUGCUGCCCUACGUACUGUUCUUUUCUGUAUCUUGUUUGUUUCUUUUGUUUUCAGACAGGGUGUCUAUAUAGUCGUGGUUGUUCUGGUACUCACUGUGGAGACCAGGCUGGCCUGGAACUCAGAGAUCUGUGUGCCUCUCCCUCCCAGGGGCUGGGUUUAAAGGUGUGCACUCCCUGCCUUGUUUCCAGUAGCCUGAAGUUUAUAUUUUUCCCCAAAUAAUAACUCUCCAGUUUUGUAAUAAUAAAAUAGUGAAGAAUUUGAA
Rattus norvegicus (Norway rat) is the source of this 2023-nucleotide non-coding RNA. Lineage: Eukaryota; Metazoa; Chordata; Mammalia; Rodentia; Muridae. The record is from RefSeq and is a predicted model, not a curated record.